CUGUAGUGGUGUGAGUGGUUCCUUGACCUACGGUGCCUCGGUUGCUUACAGUGAGGUUGCUAUAAUUUGACUAUACAUAAACAUGAUCUUCUAGCCAUUUGAAUUCUUGUAGUAUAUGUUGGCUAUAAAAGAUUCAUUUUAGAGUAGGAUAUGUACUUAUAAGGGAUCUAUCAACCUUAGUAAAUAAGGAGCAGUCCUAUGGAAUUUGAGAAGCUGAGUCCACAAGUCCAUGGUCAUAGCAAGAUGAUUGAUGGAAAGAGUUUCUAUGAGUAUCACAUUUGGACUUGAGCUA
RNAcentral lists this long non-coding RNA (292 nucleotides) under Elaeis guineensis (African oil palm). RNAcentral describes it as "long non-coding RNA (EGUI_LNC031619)". The record is from RNAcentral. Lineage: Eukaryota; Viridiplantae; Streptophyta; Magnoliopsida; Arecales; Arecaceae.